AGCGAACGCUGGCGGCAGGCCUAACACAUGCAAGUCGAACGAACCUUUCGGGGUUAGUGGCGGACGGGUGAGUAACACGUGGGAACGUGCCUUUAGGUUCGGAAUAACUCAGGGAAACUUGUGCUAAUACCGAAUGUGCCCUUCGGGGGAAAGAUUUAUCGCCUUUAGAGCGGCCCGCGUCUGAUUAGCUAGUUGGUUGAGGUAAUGGCUCACCAAGGCGACGAUCAGUAGCUGGUCUGAGAGGAUGAUCAGCCACAUUGGGACUGAGACACGGCCCAAACUCCUACGGGAGGCAGCAGUGAGGAAUCUUGCGCAAUGGGCGAAAGCCUGACGCAGCCAUGCCGCGUGAAUGAUGAAGGUCUUAGGAUUGUAAAAUUCUUUCACCGGGGACGAUAAUGACGGUACCCGGAGAAGAAGCCCCGGCUAACUUCGUG
Molecule: ribosomal RNA, 434 nt
Filed under: uncultured bacterium
Lineage: Bacteria
Description: partial 16S ribosomal RNA
Rfam family: Bacterial small subunit ribosomal RNA
Source: RNAcentral